RNAcentral lists this non-coding RNA (45 nucleotides) under Schistosoma mansoni. The record is from RNAcentral. Lineage: Eukaryota; Metazoa; Platyhelminthes; Trematoda; Strigeidida; Schistosomatidae.
AUUCGACUGAAGAGUCCAAAAUGGAACGAAACGCGCAUCCUGGAU